This 468-nucleotide ribosomal RNA is filed under the name uncultured bacterium. RNAcentral describes it as "partial 16S ribosomal RNA". It matches the Rfam family "Bacterial small subunit ribosomal RNA", at positions 28 to 507 of the family's 1533-position model. The record is from RNAcentral.
GACGAACGCUGGCGGCGUGCUUAACACAUGCAAGUCGAACGGAAAGGCCCUGCUUUUGUGGGUUGCUCGAGUGGCGAACGGGUGAGUAACACGUGAGUAACCUGCCCUUGACUUUGGGAUAACUUCAGGAAACUGGGGCUAAUACCGGAUAUGAGCUCCUGCUGCAUGUUGGGGGUUGGAAAGUUUCGGCGGUUGGGGAUGGACUCGCGGCUUAUCAGCUUGUUGGUGGGGUAGUGGCUUACCAAGGCUUUGACGGGUAGCCGGCCUGAGAGGGUGAGCGGCGACAUUGGGACUGAGAGACGGCACAGACUCCUACGGGAGGGAGCAGUGGGGAAUAUUGCAGAAUGGGCGGAAGCCUGAUGCAGCAACGCCGCGUGCGGGAUAACGGGCUUCGGGGUGUAAACCGCUUUCGCAGGAGACGAAGAGUGAGUGACGGUAAUGGGUAAAGAAGCACCGGCUAACUACGUG